This 249-nucleotide ribosomal RNA is filed under the name uncultured bacterium. RNAcentral's name for it is "partial 16S ribosomal RNA". It matches the Rfam family "Bacterial small subunit ribosomal RNA", at positions 524 to 771 of the family's 1533-position model. The record is from RNAcentral.
UACGGAGGGGGCUAGCGUUGUUCGGAAUUACUGGGCGUAAAGCGCACGUAGGCGGCUUUGCAAGUUAGAGGUGAAAGCCCGGGGCUCAACUCCGGAAUUGCCUUUAAAACUGCAUUGCUAGAAUUGUGGAGAGGUAAGUUGGAAUUCCGAGUGUAGAGGUGAAAUUCGUAGAUAUUCGGAAGAACACCAGUGGCGAAGGCGACUUACUGGACACAUAUUGACGCUGAGGUGCGAAAGCGUGGGGAGCAA